GACGAACGCUGGCGGUGUGCUUAACACAUGCAAGUGGUGCGACAAACCAGAGCUUGCUCUGGGGCAAAGCCGCGAACGGGUGAGUAACACGUGGGUAAUCUACCCCGAUGACCGGGACAACCCGAGGAAACUCGGGCUAAUACCGGAUGUGGUACGGAGACAUAAGUCUCUUUACUAAAGGUAGCUUCGGCUUCCGCAUUGGGAGGGGCCCGCGGCCCAUUAGCUAGUUGGUGGGGUCAAGGCCUACCAAGGCAACGAUGGGUAGCUGGUCUGAGAGGACGAUCAGCCACACUGGGACUGAGACACGGCCCAGACUCCUACGGGAGGCAGCAGUGGGGAAUCUUGCGCAAUGCGCGAAAGCGUGACGCAGCAACACCGCGUGAGGGAAGACGGGCCUUAGGGUUGUAAACCUCUUUCAGAUGGGACGAAGGUGAUGCGGUGAAUAGCCGAUGUCAUUGACGGUACCGUCAGAAGAAGCUCCGGCUAACUACGUGCCAGCAGCCGCGGUAA
This 510-nucleotide ribosomal RNA is filed under the name uncultured bacterium. RNAcentral's name for it is "bacterial SSU rRNA". It matches the Rfam family "Bacterial small subunit ribosomal RNA", at positions 28 to 523 of the family's 1533-position model. The record is from RNAcentral.